GUGGGGAAUAUUGCACAAUGGGCGAAAGCCUGAUGCAGCAACGCCGCGUGAGUGAUGAAGGCCUUCGGGUUGUAAAGCUCUGUCUUUUGGGACGAUAAUGACGGUACCAAAGGAGGAAGCCACGGCUAACUACGUGCCAGCAGCCGCGGUAAUACGUAGGUGGCAAGCGUUGUCCGGAUUUACUGGGCGUAAAGGAUGCGUAGGCGGAUAUUUAAGUGAGAUGUGAAAUUCCCGGGCUUAACUUGGGAGCUGCAUUUCAAACUGGAUAUCUAGAGUGCGGGAGAGGAGAAUGGAAUUCCUAGUGUAGCGGUGAAAUGCGUAGAGAUUAGGAAGAACACCAGUGGCGAAGGCGAUUCUCUGGACCGUAACUGACGCUGAGGCAUGAAAGCGUGGGUAGCAAACAGGAUUAGAAACCCUUGUAGUCC
This 425-nucleotide ribosomal RNA is filed under the name uncultured bacterium. Its description in RNAcentral is "bacterial SSU rRNA". It matches the Rfam family "Bacterial small subunit ribosomal RNA", at positions 354 to 796 of the family's 1533-position model. The record is from RNAcentral.